Molecule: ribosomal RNA, 119 nt
Filed under: Pteropus alecto (black flying fox)
Lineage: Eukaryota; Metazoa; Chordata; Mammalia; Chiroptera; Pteropodidae
Source: RNAcentral
GGCUAUGGCCAUGCUACCCUGAAUAAACCCGAUCCUGUCUGAUCUUGGAAGCUAAGCAGGGUCGGGCCUGGUUAGUACUUGGAUGAGAGACCAUCUAGGAAGACCAGGGGCUGCAGGUG